This 686-nucleotide ribosomal RNA is filed under the name Aspergillus terreus. Its description in RNAcentral is "eukaryotic LSU rRNA". The stretch from base 219 to 372 matches the Rfam family "5.8S ribosomal RNA". Lineage: Eukaryota; Fungi; Ascomycota; Eurotiomycetes; Eurotiales; Aspergillaceae. The record is from RNAcentral.
UCCUUUGGGUCAAGGUCGGUCUGAAUCUAGGUAACGUGGGUCUUUCUAGUUGCACCUCCCAGCCUUGACUAUUGUACCUCCGUUGCUACGGCGGGCCCGCCAACGUUUGCUGGCCGCCGGGGGGCGACUCGCCCCCGGGCCCGUGCCCGCCGGAGACCCCAACAUGAACCCUGUUCUGAAAGCUUGCAGUCUGAGUGUGAUUCUUUGCAAUCAGUUAAAACUUUCAACAAUGGAUCUCUUGGUUCCGGCAUCGAUGAAGAACGCAGCGAAAUGCGAUAACUAAUGUGAAUUGCAGAAUUCAGUGAAUCAUCGAGUCUUUGAACGCACAUUGCGCCCCCUGGUAUUCCGGGGGGCAUGCCUGUCCGAGCGUCAUUGCUGCCCUCAAGCCCGGCUUGUGUGUUGGGCCCUCGUCCCCCGGCUCCCGGGGGACGGGCCCGAAAGGCAGCGGCGGCACCGCGUCCGGUCCUCGAGCGUAUGGGGCUUCGUCUUCCGCUCCGUAGGCCCGGCCGGCGCCCGCCGACGCAUUUAUUUGCAACUUGUUUUUUUCCAGGUUGACCUCGGAUCAGGUAGGGAUACCCGCUGAACUUAAGCAUAUCAUAAACCGAAGGAAACCUGAAACUUAUGAAUAAUCGGUAAAGAAUGCUAGAUUCCCGGGUGAAGUGGGGAAAGACCAAGAGAACUCGAGG